RNAcentral lists this ribosomal RNA (1159 nucleotides) under Virgibacillus sp. JAS5. Its description in RNAcentral is "bacterial SSU rRNA". It matches the Rfam family "Bacterial small subunit ribosomal RNA", at positions 140 to 1235 of the family's 1533-position model. Lineage: Bacteria; Bacillati; Bacillota; Bacilli; Caryophanales; Bacillaceae. The record is from RNAcentral.
GGGUUACCCCGGGGGAUUAUAGCCACUACGACCGCGCGCUCCCUCCGGGGCAUCCAGGGGCUAUUACCGGGCUAAUACUCUUCCAUCACCCCGAUGGGAUGUUCGUCCAGGUGGCUUUUACAUAUCCACUUACAGACGGGGACGCGCGCGCAUCAGCUAGUUGGUGAGGUUACGGCUCACCAAGGCAACGAUGCGUAGCCGACCUGAGAGGGUGAUCGGCCACACUGGGACUGAGACACGGCCCAGACUCCUACGGGAGGCAGCAGUAGGGAAUCUUCCGCAAUGGACGAAAGUCUGACGGAGCAACGCCGCGUGAGUGAUGAAGGUUUUCGGAUCGUAAAGCUCUGUUGUUAGGGAAGAACAAGUGCCGUUUGAAUAGGGCGGCACCUUGACGGUACCUAACCAGAAAGCCCCGGCUAAAUACGUGCCAGCAGCCGCGGUAAAAAAUAAGGGGGGGAGGGGCUUUCUGAAAUAUUGGGGGUAAAAGCGCGCGUAGGCGGUCCUUUAAGUCUGAUGUGAAAGCCCACGGCUCAACCGUGGAGGGUCAUUGGAAACUGGAGGACUUGAGUACAGAAGAAAAGAGGAGAGUGGAAUUCCACGUGUAGCGGUGAAAUGCGUAGAGAUGUGGAGGAACACCAKUGGCGAAGCGACUCUCUGGUCUGUACUGACGCUGAGGCGCGAAAGCGUGGGGAGCGAACAGGAUUAGAUACCCUGGUAGUCCACGCCGUAAACGAUGAGUGCUAGGUGUUAGGGGGUUUCCGCCCCUUAGUGCUGAAGUUAACGCAUUAAGCACUCCGCCUGGGGAGUACGGCCGCAAGGCUGAAACUCAAAAGAAUUGACGGGGGCCCGCACAAGCGGUGGAGCAUGUGGUUUAAUUCGACGCAACGCGAAGAACCUUACCAGGUCUUGACAUCCUCUGCAAUCGGUAGAGAUACCGAGUUCCCUUCGGGGACAGAGUGACAGGUGGUGCAUGGUUGUCGUCAGCUCGUGUCGUGAGAUGUUGGGUUAAGUCCCGCAACGAGCGCAACCCUUGAUCUUAGUUGCCAGCAUUUAGUUGGGCACUCUAAGGUGACUGCCGGUGACAAACCGGAGGAAGGUGGGGRUGASGKCRAAUCAUCMUGCCCCUUAUGACCUGGGCUACACACGUGCUACAAUGGAU